Molecule: unclassified non-coding RNA, 298 nt
Filed under: plant metagenome
Description: partial contains 5.8S ribosomal RNA, internal transcribed spacer 2, and large subunit ribosomal RNA
Rfam family: 5.8S ribosomal RNA (bases 1-105)
Source: RNAcentral
GAAAUGCGAUAAGUAAUGUGAAUUGCAGAAUUCAGUGAAUCAUCGAAUCUUUGAACGCACAUUGCGCUCGCCAGUAUUCUGGCGAGCAUGCCUGUUCGAGCGUCAUUUCAACCAUCAAGCUCUGCUUGCGUUGGGGAUCCGCGGCUGCCCGCGGUCCCUCAAAACAGUGGCGGGCUCGCUAGUCACACCGAGCGUAGUAACUCUACAUCGCUAUGGUCGUGCGGCGGGUUCUUGCCGUAAAACCCCCAAUUUCUAAGGUUGACCUCGGAUCAGGUAGGAAUACCCGCUGAACUUAAGC